This 75-nucleotide transfer RNA is filed under the name Pseudomonadota bacterium. Its description in RNAcentral is "tRNA-Thr". It matches the Rfam family "tRNA". Rfam says of the family: Transfer RNA (tRNA) molecules are approximately 80 nucleotides in length. Their secondary structure includes four short double-helical elements and three loops (D, anti-codon, and T loops). Further hydrogen bonds mediate the characteristic L-shaped molecular structure. tRNAs have two regions of fundamental functional importance: the anti-codon, which is responsible for specific mRNA codon recognition, and the 3' end, to which the tRNAs corresponding amino acid is attached (by aminoacyl-tRNA synthetases). tRNAs cope with the degeneracy of the genetic code in two manners: having more than one tRNA (with a specific anti-codon) for a particular amino acid; and 'wobble' base-pairing, i.e. permitting non-standard base-pairing at the 3rd anti-codon position. The record is from RNAcentral. RNAcentral also lists the same sequence under 3 other names. Lineage: Bacteria; Pseudomonadati; Pseudomonadota.
GCCGGCGUAGCUCAGUGGUAGAGCAGCCGAUUCGUAAUCGGCAGGCCGAGGGUUCGAAUCCCCCCGCCGGCUCCA